GUCGCGCGAGAACCCGCAAGGGGGACAGCGGCGAAAGGGACAGUAAUGUGUAGGUAUUUGCCUCUAGGACCGGGAUAGCUGCGGGAAACUGCAGGUAAUACCGGAUAACGUCUUCGGACCAAAGGUGUGAGUCCGCCUGGAGAUAAGCCUACAUCCUAUUAGCUAGUUGGUAGGGUAAUGGCCUACCAAGGCUUUGAUGGGUAGCGGGUGUGAGAGCACGACCCGCGUCACUGGGACUGAGACACUGCCCAGACACCUACGGGUGGCUGCAGUCGAGAAUCUUCGGCAAUGGACGCAAGUCUGACCGAGCGACGCCGCGUGUGGGAUGAAGGCCUUCGGGUUGUAAACCACUGUCAGAGGGGAUGAAAUGCCGGUGGGUACUCCCAUCGGUUUGACAUAGCCUCAGAGGAAGGACGGGCUAAGUUCGUGCCAGCAGCCGCGGUAAGACGAACCGUCCGAACGUUAUUCGGAAUCACUGGGCUUAAAGGGUGCGUAGGCGGCGCGGAAAGUUGGGUGUGAAAUCCCUCGGCUUAACCGAGGAACUGCGCUCAAAACUACCGUGCUCGAGGGAGAUAGAGGUGAGCGGAACUUAGGGUGGAGCGGUGAAAUGCGUUGAUAUCCUAAGGAACACCGGUGGCGAAAGCGGCUCACUGGAUCUCUUCUGACGCUGAGGCACGAAAGCUAGGGUAGCGAACGGGAUUAGAUACCCCGGUAGUCCUAGCCGUAAACGAUGAGCACUGGAUUGGAGGCUCCUCCAUA
Molecule: ribosomal RNA, 759 nt
Filed under: uncultured Planctomycetota bacterium
Lineage: Bacteria; Pseudomonadati; Planctomycetota
Description: bacterial SSU rRNA
Rfam family: Bacterial small subunit ribosomal RNA
Source: RNAcentral